GCUACCUGCAGUCGAGCGGCAACGCCCCUUUCGGGCUGCCGAGAGGGGAAAAGGGGAGAGUAAUGUGUGGAAAUGGCCCUGAAUCGGGGAAAACCAGGCAAAAGGGGGCUUAAAACGGAAAAGACCCUUAGGCGGAAGGGGGGGGAUCCUUCGGGGCCUCUCCCUAUUGGAGCGGCCGAUGUCGGAUUAGCUAGUUGGUGGGGUAAGGGCCUACCAAGGGAACGAUCCGUAUCUGGUUUGAAAGGACGACCAGCCCCACUGGGACUGAGACACGGCCCCCACUCCUACGCGAGAGGCAAGUGGGGAAUUUAUUGCAAUGGGGGAAACCCUGAUCCACCCAUCCCGCGUGUGCGAUAAAAAGGCCUUCAUUGUGUAGCACUUUUUUACCACUCAGAAGUAGGCCUGGUUUUACCUGGGCUGAAUGACGGGCCUGCAAAAUACCGGCCGGCUAACUGCCAUGCC
This 462-nucleotide ribosomal RNA is filed under the name uncultured bacterium. RNAcentral's name for it is "partial 16S ribosomal RNA". It matches the Rfam family "Bacterial small subunit ribosomal RNA", at positions 50 to 509 of the family's 1533-position model. The record is from RNAcentral.